Molecule: ribosomal RNA, 896 nt
Filed under: Wolbachia endosymbiont of Diaphorina citri
Lineage: Bacteria; Pseudomonadati; Pseudomonadota; Alphaproteobacteria; Rickettsiales; Anaplasmataceae
Description: bacterial SSU rRNA
Rfam family: Bacterial small subunit ribosomal RNA
Source: RNAcentral
UUGUAGCCUGCUAUGGUAUAACUUAGUGGCAGACGGGUGAGUAAUAUAUAGGAAUCUACCUAGUAGUACGGAAUAAUUGUUGGAAACGGCAACUAAUACCGUAUACGCCCUACGGGGGAAAAAUUUAUUGCUAUUAGAUGAGCCUAUAUUAGAUUAGCUAGUUGGUGGAGUAAUAGCCUACCAAGGCAAUGAUCUAUAGCUGAUCUGAGAGGAUGAUCAGCCACACUGGAACUGAGAUACGGUCCAGACUUCUACGGGAGGCAGCAGUGGGGAAUAUUGGACAAUGGGCGAAAGCCUGAUCCAGCCAUGUCGCAUGAGUGAAGAAGGCCCUUGGGUUGUAAAGCUCUUUUAGUGAGGAAGAUAAUGACGGUACUCACAGAAGAAGUCCUGGCUAACUCCGUGCCAGCAGCCGCGGUAAUACGGAGAGGGCUAGCGUUAUUCGGAAUUAUUGGGCGUAAAGGGCGCGUAGGCUGAUUAAUAAGUUAAAAGUGAAAUCCCGAGGCUUAACCUUGGAAUUGCUUUUAAAACUAUUAAUCUAGAGAUUGAAAGAGGAUAGAGGAAUUCCUGAUGUAGAGGUAAAAUUCGUAAAUAUUAGGAGGAACACCAGUGGCGAAGGCGUCUAUCUGGUUCAAAUCUGACGCUGAGGCGCGAAGGCGUGGGGAGCAAACAGGAUUAGAUACCCUGGUAGUCCACGCUGUAAACGAUGAAUGUUAAAUAUGGGAAGUUUACUUUCUGUAUUACAGCUAACGCGUUAAACAUUCCGCCUGGGGACUACGGUCGCAAGAUUAAAACUCAAAGGAAUUGACGGGGACCCGCACAAGCGGUGGAGCAUGUGGUUUAAUUCGAUGCAACGCGAAAAACCUUACCACUUCUUGACAUGAAAAUCAUACCUAUUC